RNAcentral lists this ribosomal RNA (427 nucleotides) under uncultured beta proteobacterium. Its description in RNAcentral is "bacterial SSU rRNA". It matches the Rfam family "Bacterial small subunit ribosomal RNA", at positions 355 to 774 of the family's 1533-position model. Lineage: Bacteria; Pseudomonadati; Pseudomonadota; Betaproteobacteria. The record is from RNAcentral.
UGGGGAAUUUUGGACAAUGGGCGAAAGCCUGAUCCAGCCAUGCCGCGUGAGUGAAGAAGGCCUUCGGGUUGUAAAGCUCUUUUAGUCGGAAAGAAAGAGUUGCAAUGAAUAAUUGUGAUUUAUGACGGUACCGACAGAAAAAGCACCGGCUAACUACGUGCCAGCAGCCGCGGUAAUACGUAGGGUGCGAGCGUUAAUCGGAAUUACUGGGCGUAAAGGGUGCGCAGGCGGUCUUGCAAGUCAGAUGUGAAAGCCCCGGGCUUAACCUGGGAAUUGCGUUUGAAACUACAAGACUAGAGUGCAGCAGAGGGGAGUGGAAUUCCAUGUGUAGCAGUGAAAUGCGCAGAGAUGUGGAAGAACACCGAUGGCGAAGGCAGCUCCCUGGGUUGACACUGACGCUCAUGCACGAAAGCGUGGGGAGCAAACA